GGGAGUAAAUUUCUUCUAAAGCUAAAUACUGGCCAGAGACCGAUAGCGCACAAGUAGAGUGAUCGAAAGAUGAAAAGCACUUUGGAAAGAGAGUCAAAAAGCACGUGAAAUUGUUGAAAGGGAAGCGCUUGCAGCCAGACUUGCCUGCGGUUGCUCAUCCGGGCUCUUGCCCGGUGCACUCUUCCGUAGGCAGGCCAGCAUCAGUUUGGGCGGCUGGAUAAAGGCCUCUGUCAUGUACCUUCCCUCGGGAAGGCCUUAUAGGGGAGGCGUAAUGCAGCCAGCCUGGACUGAGGUCCGCGCAUUUGCUAGGAUGCUGGCGUAAUGGCUGUAAGCGGCCCGUCUUGAAACACGGAC
RNAcentral lists this small RNA (354 nucleotides) under Medicopsis romeroi. RNAcentral describes it as "eukaryotic LSU rRNA". It matches the Rfam family "Eukaryotic large subunit ribosomal RNA", at positions 294 to 666 of the family's 3401-position model. The record is from RNAcentral. Lineage: Eukaryota; Fungi; Ascomycota; Dothideomycetes; Pleosporales; Neohendersoniaceae.